RNAcentral lists this non-coding RNA (78 nucleotides) under Geobacter pickeringii. RNAcentral's name for it is "c-di-GMP sequence". It matches the Rfam family "c-di-GMP-I riboswitch aptamer". Rfam says of the family: GEMM was predicted in a large-scale screen for bacterial structured RNA regulatory elements. The record is from Rfam by way of RNAcentral. Lineage: Bacteria; Pseudomonadati; Thermodesulfobacteriota; Desulfuromonadia; Geobacterales; Geobacteraceae.
UCACCGAAAAGGUAAAGCCCGGGUAACCGGGUGGCACAAAGCUACCUAUCCAGCUGGCUGGAAAGAGGGGCUGUCGAA